AGGCACUUGGCGAGGAAGUUCCUGAAGAUAUGGAUGCAGAACACCUUUGGCCGGAUUCUUCCUCAUAAAGCCAAGUCCCACUAUAACAGCGUGGUGUUGAGACGGGUCUUUGAAGGAUGGAGAGACGAGUGGUGGACGUCCAGGAGAGAGUGGAGUCUUACGAUGCGGGCAGAGUGUCACUACAGGUAUUAUCUGUGUAACUUGGCAUUUCAGAGGUGGCGGACGUUAAUGUCAUUGCAGAGGGAGAAGAGAAGGAAAGUCCAAAUUGCUCAGUCUUUUGGUAUGAUUUUUUUUUUUUUUUACAAAUGUUUUUAAUUGAGGUUUUCAAAGUUAACAUACAGCUGAAAAAGGCAUGGUGUGAAGAUUCAAUUUCUUAUGCCAAUGUAUU
Plectropomus leopardus (leopard coralgrouper) is the source of this 388-nucleotide non-coding RNA. The record is from RefSeq and is a predicted model, not a curated record. NCBI's taxonomy places the organism in Eukaryota, Metazoa, Chordata, Actinopteri, Perciformes, Serranidae.